GUGUCAGCAGCCGCGGUAAUACGGAGGGUGCGAGCGUUAUUCGGAAUUACUGGGCGUAAAGCGCGUGUAGGCGGGGAUGCAAGUCUGAUGUGAAAGCCCUGGGCUUAACCUGGGAAGUGCAUUGGAAACUGCAUUUCUUGAGUACUGGAGAGGAAGGGGGAAUUCCCGGUGUAGAGGUGAAAUUCGUAGAGAUCGGGAGGAAUACCAGUGGCGUAGGCGCCCUUCUGGACGGUUACUGACGCUGAGACGCGAAAGCGUGGGGAGCAAACAGGAUUAGAUACCCUGGUAGUCCACGCUGUAAACGAUGAUCACUAGGUGUAGCGGGUACUCAUUCCUGCUGUGCCGUAGCUAACGCGUUAAGUGAUCCGCCUGGGGAUUACGGUCGCAAGACUAAA
RNAcentral lists this ribosomal RNA (395 nucleotides) under uncultured bacterium. Its description in RNAcentral is "bacterial SSU rRNA". It matches the Rfam family "Bacterial small subunit ribosomal RNA", at positions 505 to 898 of the family's 1533-position model. The record is from RNAcentral.